UACAGAGGGGGCAAGCGUUGUCCGGAUUUACUGGGCGUACAGCGCGCGCAGGCGGUUGCGUAUGUGAGCGGUGACAUCCGCGGGCUCAACCCGCGGCGGCCCGCUUACACAGCGCGACUGGAGGCAGGGAGAGGGAUGUGGGAUACCCGGUGGAGCGGUGAAAUGCGUAGAGAUCGGGUGGAACACCAGCGGCGAAGGCGGCAUCCUGGCCCUGUACUGACGCUGAGGCGCGAUAGCGUGGGGAGCAAACGGG
This 253-nucleotide ribosomal RNA is filed under the name uncultured bacterium. RNAcentral describes it as "partial 16S ribosomal RNA". It matches the Rfam family "Bacterial small subunit ribosomal RNA", at positions 524 to 776 of the family's 1533-position model. The record is from RNAcentral.